GCGGAUGUGGCGGAACUGGCAGACGCGCAGGCUUCAGGUGCCUGUGGGCUUACGCCCGUGUAGGUUCGAUUCCUAUCAUCCGCA
Non-coding RNA from Planctomycetes bacterium RBG_13_60_9, 84 nucleotides. The record is from Rfam. NCBI's taxonomy places the organism in Bacteria, Pseudomonadati, Planctomycetota.